Molecule: ribosomal RNA, 425 nt
Filed under: uncultured bacterium
Lineage: Bacteria
Description: partial 16S ribosomal RNA
Rfam family: Bacterial small subunit ribosomal RNA
Source: RNAcentral
GUGGGGAAUCUUAGACAAUGGGCGCAAGCCUGAUCUAGCCAUGCCGCGUGAGCGAUGAAGGCCUUAGGGUUGUAAAGCUCUUUCGCUGGGGAAGAUAAUGACUGUACCCAGUAAAGAAGCCCCGGCUAACUCCGUGCCAGCAGCCGCGGUAAUACGGAGGGGGCUAGCGUUGUUCGGAAUUACUGGGCGUAAAGCGCACGUAGGCGGACCGGAAAGUCAGAGGUGAAAUCCCAGGGCUCAACCUUGGAACUGCCUUUGAAACUCCUGGUCUUGAGGUCGAGAGAGGUGAGUGGAAUUCCGAGUGUAGAGGUGAAAUUCGUAGAUAUUCGGAGGAACACCAGUGGCGAAGGCGGCUCACUGGCUCGAUACUGACGCUGAGGUGCGAAAGCGUGGGGAGCAAACAGGAUUAGAUACCCCGGUAGUCC